GCGCAAAAAUAAUUACAUCGAAUGCGAUAAUCUCCAACUUGAUAUAAACUUCAUAUUGUUGUUUAUAAUUAAUUAACUUCUUUGAACAACGAAUUUGAAAUCAAGAUUACAAAUUAACACUCCUACAAAAUACUCAUUAGCUGACAAUUAAACCCAGAAACGUCAUAUAUAGAGAGAACCCCAAGGGGUUUGUUGAGUUGUCAACGGGCCGCUUAUAAAAGGCUUACUCCCGUGAGCUCACAGGUUCAAUUCCUCUCACCAACAACACUUGGGGCCACCUCCUUGUACUUGCAAGCAUGCGGAAAUAGCUGUAGGGAUUUAGUCUGGUGUGCAAGCCGAGGAUACCUUGCAUUACAGAGAGAGAGUGAGAGUCCACUUAGAAGCAUCUUGAUUUGAAAAAAUGUUCAAAGAGAAAAAUAUAACAAAAUUUAAGGACAAGGAAACACAAUAUUUCAGUGUGCAGAUUCUUCAACUUCCAAUUCUACCGAUCUUCUGCUGAGCUAGGUCUUUUGGCACCCACUAGCCCUAAUAAGGCGAGUUCGGUUCCAUGAGCCCUUUACGACCCCAUCUACUUUCUUCUCUAUUGCAGCUACUUUUUGUGUGCAAAGGCGAUCAUCGCAGCCUAGAGCUACCUUAUCUUCAAUCUCUCUCCAAAAUCCUACUCUUUCCUUGACAGUAAUUUUACAGACACAGAAACCAAAUUCACUACUGGCCACAAAACAUAAAUAUAUAUAUGGACAUGAUCAUAUUUAUAUAUAAAAAUUUUUUUGAAAUAAAACCUUGUCCGUAUAUGUAUUAUCUGUAAUCAGUUCUGUGGGCUAUUUAUUUUUGUGUCCUUAGAAUUACUAUUUUUUCUCAACAUUCAUGGCUUUCGUUAUCCAACGAACCAAUAUCAGAUAAAGUUGGAUAACAAAAGCCAUCGAUGUGAUGUGCGUGAUGUGCAACAACGAAUCUAUGUAUUAAAGUUACAAACAGCUAAUAGCCUGCGAUGCAUCGCCUUUGCUCACAACAAAGUUGGAGAGGAAAGAAAAAGAAAGAUAGACAUGUUUCGUGAAGAGUUAAGAAGAAACCGGACUGACCUUAUUAGGGUUAAUGAGUGUCUUUUGAGCUAUUAUAGCCAUGUGUAGAAGGUGUAUAUAUAGACAGAAUUAAGUUCAAAGGCUCAAAAAGAGGGUUGAAUAAUUGGGUGAUCUACUAAAUUUAGUGACUGUUAGGUAAGACAAUAAUUGAUCAACUUGGAGGGAGAGAGGUUCAUGCAUCCCUCCAAUUAACUUCCCUUUUUCAAGGACACAUGACAGUCACUACCAAGAGCAUA
Molecule: long non-coding RNA, 1315 nt
Filed under: Actinidia chinensis (golden kiwifruit)
Lineage: Eukaryota; Viridiplantae; Streptophyta; Magnoliopsida; Ericales; Actinidiaceae
Description: long non-coding RNA (ACHI_LNC006821)
Source: RNAcentral